GAUGAACGCUGGCGGCGUGCCUAAUACAUGCAAGUCGAGCGAACAGAUAAGGAGCUUGCUCCUUUGACGUUAGCGGCGGACGGGUGAGUAACACGUGGGUAACCUACCUAUAAGACUGGAAUAACUCCGGGAAACCGGGGCUAAUGCCGGAUAACAUUUAGAACCGCAUGGUUCUAAAGUGAAAGAUGGUUUUGCUAUCUCUUAUAGAUGGACCCGCGCCGUAUUAGCUAGUUGGUAAGGUAACGGCUUACCAAGGCAACGAUACGUAGCCGACCUGAGAGGGUGAUCGGCCACACUGGAACUGAGACACGGUCCAGACUCCUACGGGAGGCAGCAGUAGGGAAUCUUCCGCAAUGGGCGAAAGCCUGACGGAGCAACGCCGCGUGAGUGAUGAAGGUCUUCGGAUCGUAAAACUCUGUUAUUAGGGAAGAACAAAUGUGUAAGUAACUGUGCACGUCUUGACGGUACCUAAUCAGAAAGCCACGGCUAACUACGUG
Molecule: ribosomal RNA, 497 nt
Filed under: uncultured bacterium
Lineage: Bacteria
Description: partial 16S ribosomal RNA
Rfam family: Bacterial small subunit ribosomal RNA
Source: RNAcentral